CAGGGGCUGGGGUUUCAGGUUCU
Molecule: microRNA, 23 nt
Filed under: Macaca fascicularis (crab-eating macaque)
Lineage: Eukaryota; Metazoa; Chordata; Mammalia; Primates; Cercopithecidae
Also listed under: 1 other name
Description: microRNA miR-6813-5p
Source: RNAcentral